Molecule: ribosomal RNA, 440 nt
Filed under: uncultured bacterium
Lineage: Bacteria
Description: partial 16S ribosomal RNA
Rfam family: Bacterial small subunit ribosomal RNA
Source: RNAcentral
CCUACGGGAGGCAGCAGUAGGGAAUAUUGCUCAAUGGGGGAAACCCUGAAGCAGCAACGCCGCGUGGAGGAUGAAGGAUUUAGGAGUGUAAACCUCUUUUGGUAGAGAAGAAAAUGACGGUACCUAAGGAAUAAGCACCGACUAACUCCGUGCCAGCAGCCGCGGUAAUACGGAGGGAGCAAGCGUUAUUCGGAUUUACUGGGCGUAAAGAGUGCGUAGGCGGGGUGGUAAGUCAGGUGUGAAAGUCUGUAGCUUAACUACCGAACUGCAUUUGAAACUGUAAGGCGGGAGUGUAGGAGAGGUAGGUGGAAUUCUUGGUGUAGGGGUGAAAUGCGUAGAGAUCAGGAGGAAUACUAAUGGCGAAGGCGGCCUACUGGACCGUAACUGACGCUGAGGCUCGAAAGCGUGGGGAGCAAACAGGAUUAGAUACCCGGGUAGUC